Molecule: unclassified non-coding RNA, 276 nt
Filed under: uncultured fungus
Lineage: Eukaryota; Fungi
Description: sequence contains ITS2
Source: RNAcentral
AACGCACAUUGCGCCCUUUGGCAUUCCGAAGGGCAUGCCUGUUCGAGCGUCAUUAUCACCCCUCAAGCCCUGCGCUUGGUGUUGGAUGGCCUGGUCGAGUUCUCCUCGACCCCUCCCAAAGAUAAUGACGGCGGCCUGUGGUUCCCCCGGCACACUGAGCUUUUCACUGAGCACGUGUUGGAUUGAAGGGUACCCGGGCCACGGUCCUCUUCCUAGUAUAAGGAAACUUCACGCAAGGUUGACCUCGGAUCAGGUAGGAAUACGCGCUGAACUUAA